Molecule: long non-coding RNA, 335 nt
Filed under: Panax ginseng (ginseng)
Lineage: Eukaryota; Viridiplantae; Streptophyta; Magnoliopsida; Apiales; Araliaceae
Description: long non-coding RNA (PGIN_LNC000472)
Source: RNAcentral
ACAAACUUAAAGUGUUGGUAUAAGAUGCACAAUUUUGUUGCCUUUCAUCAUGGCUUUUGAGGAAUUGACUACACCUUAAAAUAUGUAGGAAGACUGAUAUCGUACUCAAAUAAGGAUAAACUAUCCCAUUGUUUUUUAUAUUUCAACACAUCUCACAUGUUCAGAGCUUCUAAUAUCAUUUCCAGCAUCAUUGAUUAAGUUAUAUAAUGUGAUUGACCAAUUUACUAUACUUAUUACGGUAUUACCAUGUAUGUUUGUUACAUAGACAAUUUUUUGAAAAGCCUAAAUGUGAAAAGAUUGGCAUAACCCUUACAUUACUUUUUUAUUACUCUGAG